Molecule: small RNA, 1471 nt
Filed under: Caenorhabditis elegans
Lineage: Eukaryota; Metazoa; Nematoda; Chromadorea; Rhabditida; Rhabditidae
Description: Unclassified non-coding RNA C44E4.12
Source: RNAcentral
GGCCUGGUCAAUCCCCUAUACCAAUUAAAUCUAAAAUGCAAUCAAUCAAUCUUCCUGUGGAUCAUUCCAAGAUUGAUGCUAACUUUGAAGGAUACAAAGUUUCCAUGAAUAAUGUGCACUUUUCGAGCAAAAGCCUGGAUCAAAAUUGUAAUAAAAAUCAUUUAAAUUUUCCAUUUUUCGCAAAAAAUAAUUUUCAGUAUGUCUUCGUGCUCCAUCCAAUGAAAUGAUUACUCUGCAACAUAUGAAAGUGUUCUCAAAUGAUAAUCAGCUGUUUUGUGAUUAUUCGAAAUGCACGGAUUCCCAACAAUUUUUGUAUCGUAUUUUAGACACCGGGCAUAUUCAGGCAAUGGUUUAUGAGAAAAAGGUACAUAAUUUUACUGUGAAUGAGGGUUUCGCUUCAAAAAUACUUAACGAAUAAACUUAAUUGUUUCUUUUCAAAAAAUUAAAUAAAUAAUUUCAGACCCAAAUAUGGAAUACCUCGAUCGUUGGCUCCAUUGAUGUUGGGACAAAUGCCUCUUCCGCUUUUCCUACUAAUCUCUUGUUCACUGAAAACAAUCUGGUCGUCGCUUGCAAUGGAAUUUCUGAAAUUACAGUUUUCCUGGCUGUCUCUGACUCAAAUUGGGUUAAAAUGCUGGAGCAUAAGGUUUCAGAGCAAGGUCUUUCACUGAUUGAAGCUCGAAUUUUAAAUGGAAAACUUAAUAUUUUGGCAUAUCACGUGGAAAGUGAUGAUUCCAAAAAGACCAGAAGCAGAAUUCACUCGAUUCGUAUUAAUUUGGAUGGUUUGUAUAAUUAAAUUUUGAAAAGUAAAAAAUUUCCUUCUUUUUUUCCAGAUAUAGACUAUGCUGAUAGCCUUACAGUUGAGAAAUCAAUGGAUUUAAUUCAAAAUGGACACUUUGAGGUUAAUUUUUUGAAAAUAUCAGCGAGGUGCAAAAUUUUGCAAUGUAUCCGGUCUCGACACGCUUUUGCUGUGAAGUAAAAACUGGCGCGCGCCUUUAAAGAGUACUGUAGAUUCAAACUUAUUUUUAAUAGUUUAUUUUUAUAAUUUGUGUGUUUUAAUUGUUUUAUUCUAGUUGUUUAAUAAAUAUAUAUUUUUUAACGAAAAACUAUUUAGAAAAUUGAUGAAAAUUCGAAUUUUUAUCGAUUUUGUAAAUAAUUUUCGUUAAAAAUGUAUAUUUUCUUUAAAAAACUAAAAUACAACAAGUUACAACACAUAAAUUUCAGCAAUUCGUGAGAGAAACUAUUAUAAAAUAAAGUUAUAGAAUACAGUAAUCUUUAAAGGUGCACCUUCUAAUAUUUUGUUUUAUCGUGUUGAGACCCGGUACAGUACUUUUGGUGCAACCUUUCGUGUGUAAUAUCCUAACCUUAAAUUUAUUUUUCCAGACUUGUACAUUCACAAAUAACGGCGAAAUAAUAUUUCUAUCGAGCGAAAAACCCCACGUGGAAGGGCAACAGGAAGAUAUGGAAGAAAAAG